UGAGUAGGCGGUAAUAUGUGUCAGAUGUAAAAGGCUAUGGCUUAACCAUAGUCGGCAUUUGAAACUGUAUUACUUGAGUGCAGGAGAGGUAAGUGGAAUUCCUAGUGUAGCGGUGAAAUGCGUAGAUAUUAGGAGGAACACCAGUGGCGAAGGCGACUUACUGGACUGUAACUGACGCUGAGUCACGAAAGCGUGGGUAGCAAACA
RNAcentral lists this ribosomal RNA (206 nucleotides) under uncultured Sedimentibacter sp. RNAcentral's name for it is "partial 16S ribosomal RNA". It matches the Rfam family "Bacterial small subunit ribosomal RNA", at positions 568 to 774 of the family's 1533-position model. The record is from RNAcentral. Lineage: Bacteria; Bacillati; Bacillota; Tissierellia.